UUAAGCGACUAAGCGUACACGGUGGAUGCCCUGGCAGUCAGAGGCGAUGAAGGACGUGCUAAUCUGCGAUAAGCGUCGGUAAGGUGAUAUGAACCGUUAUAACCGGCGAUUUCCGAAUGGGGAAACCCAGUGUGUUUCGACACACUAUCAUUAACUGAAUCCAUAGGUUAAUGAGGCGAACCGGGGGAACUGAAACAUCUAAGUACCCCGAGGAAAAGAAAUCAACCGAGAUUCCCCCAGUAGCGGCGAGCGAACGGGGAGCAGCCCAGAGCCUGAAUCAGUGUGUGUGUUAGUGGAAGCGUCUGGAAAGGCGCGCGAUACAGGGUGACAGCCCCGUACACAAAAAUGCACAUGCUGUGAGCUCGAUGAGUAGGGCGGGACACGUGGUAUCCUGUCUGAAUAUGGGGGGACCAUCCUCCAAGGCUAAAUACUCCUGACUGACCGAUAGUGAACCAGUACCGUGAGGGAAAGGCGAAAAGAACCCCGGCGAGGGGAGUGAAAAAGAACCUGAAACCGUGUACGUACAAGCAGUGGGAGCACGCUUAGGCGUGUGACUGCGUACCUUUUGUAUAAUGGGUCAGCGACUUAUAUUCUGUAGCAAGGUUAACCGAAUAGGGGAGCCGAAGGGAAACCGAGUCUUAACUGGGCGUUAAGUUGCAGGGUAUAGACCCGAAACCCGGUGAUCUAGCCAUGGGCAGGUUGAAGGUUGGGUAACACUAACUGGAGGACCGAACCGACUAAUGUUGAAAAAUUAGCGGAUGACUUGUGGCUGGGGGUGAAAGGCCAAUCAAACCGGGAGAUAGCUGGUUCUCCCCGAAAGCUAUUUAGGUAGCGCCUCGUGAAUUCAUCUCCGGGGGUAGAGCACUGUUUCGGCAAGGGGGUCAUCCCGACUUACCAACCCGAUGCAAACUGCGAAUACCGGAGAAUGUUAUCACGGGAGACACACGGCGGGUGCUAACGUCCGUCGUGAAGAGGGAAACAACCCAGACCGCCAGCUAAGGUCCCAAAGUCAUGGUUAAGUGGGAAACGAUGUGGGAAGGCCCAGACAGCCAGGAUGUUGGCUUAGAAGCAGCCAUCAUUUAAAGAAAGCGUAAUAGCUCACUGGUCGAGUCGGCCUGCGCGGAAGAUGUAACGGGGCUAAACCAUGCACCGAAGCUGCGGCAGCGACACUAUGUGUUGUUGGGUAGGGGAGCGUUCUGUAAGCCUGUGAAGGUGUGCUGUGAGGCAUGCUGGAGGUAUCAGAAGUGCGAAUGCUGACAUAAGUAACGAUAAAGCGGGUGAAAAGCCCGCUCGCCGGAAGACCAAGGGUUCCUGUCCAACGUUAAUCGGGGCAGGGUGAGUCGACCCCUAAGGCGAGGCCGAAAGGCGUAGUCGAUGGGAAACAGGUUAAUAUUCCUGUACUUGGUGUUACUGCGAAGGGGGGACGGAGAAGGCUAUGUUGGCCGGGCGACGGUUGUCCCGGUUUAAGCGUGUAGGCUGGUUUUCCAGGCAAAUCCGGAAAAUCAAGGCUGAGGCGUGAUGACGAGGCACUACGGUGCUGAAGCAACAAAUGCCCUGCUUCCAGGAAAAGCCUCUAAGCAUCAGGUAACAUCAAAUCGUACCCCAAACCGACACAGGUGGUCAGGUAGAGAAUACCAAGGCGCUUGAGAGAACUCGGGUGAAGGAACUAGGCAAAAUGGUGCCGUAACUUCGGGAGAAGGCACGCUGAUAUGUAGGUGAAGCGACUUGCUCGUGGAGCUGAAAUCAGUCGAAGAUACCAGCUGGCUGCAACUGUUUAUUAAAAACACAGCACUGUGCAAACACGAAAGUGGACGUAUACGGUGUGACGCCUGCCCGGUGCCGGAAGGUUAAUUGAUGGGGUCAGCGCAAGCGAAGCUCUUGAUCGAAGCCCCGGUAAACGGCGGCCGUAACUAUAACGGUCCUAAGGUAGCGAAAUUCCUUGUCGGGUAAGUUCCGACCUGCACGAAUGGCGUAAUGAUGGCCAGGCUGUCUCCACCCGAGACUCAGUGAAAUUGAACUCGCUGUGAAGAUGCAGUGUAUCCGCGGCAAGACGGAAAGACCCCGUGAACCUUUACUAUAGCUUGACACUGAACAUUGAGCCUUGAUGUGUAGGAUAGGUGGGAGGCUUUGAAGUGUGGACGCCAGUCUGCAUGGAGCCGACCUUGAAAUACCACCCUUUAAUGUUUGAUGUUCUAACGUGGACCCGUGAUCCGGGUUGCGGACAGUGUCUGGUGGGUAGUUUGACUGGGGCGGUCUCCUCCUAAAGAGUAACGGAGGAGCACGAAGGUUGGCUAAUCCUGGUCGGACAUCAGGAGGUUAGUGCAAUGGCAUAAGCCAGCUUGACUGCGAGCGUGACGGCGCGAGCAGGUGCGAAAGCAGGUCAUAGUGAUCCGGUGGUUCUGAAUGGAAGGGCCAUCGCUCAACGGAUAAAAGGUACUCCGGGGAUAACAGGCUGAUACCGCCCAAGAGUUCAUAUCGACGGCGGUGUUUGGCACCUCGAUGUCGGCUCAUCACAUCCUGGGGCUGAAGUAGGUCCCAAGGGUAUGGCUGUUCGCCAUUUAAAGUGGUACGCGAGCUGGGUUUAGAACGUCGUGAGACAGUUCGGUCCCUAUCUGCCGUGGGCGCUGGAGAACUGAGGGGGGCUGCUCCUAGUACGAGAGGACCGGAGUGGACGCAUCACUGGUGUUCGGGUUGUCAUGCCAAUGGCACUGCCCGGUAGCUAAAUGCGGAAGAGAUAAGUGCUGAAAGCAUCUAAGCACGAAACUUGCCCCGAGAUGAGUUCUCCCUGACUCCUUGAGAGUCCUGAAGGAACGUUGAAGACGACGACGUUGAUAGGCCGGGUGUGUAAGCGCAGCGAUGCGUUGAGCUAACCGGUACUAAUGAACCGUGAGGCUUAACCUU
This 2901-nucleotide ribosomal RNA is filed under the name Escherichia coli 3431. RNAcentral describes it as "bacterial LSU rRNA". It matches the Rfam family "Bacterial large subunit ribosomal RNA". Lineage: Bacteria; Pseudomonadati; Pseudomonadota; Gammaproteobacteria; Enterobacterales; Enterobacteriaceae. The record is from RNAcentral.